Molecule: long non-coding RNA, 882 nt
Organism: Myodes glareolus (Bank vole)
Lineage: Eukaryota; Metazoa; Chordata; Mammalia; Rodentia; Cricetidae
Source: RefSeq, a predicted model, not a curated record
GUCAGCCAUGACAGUGAACCAUCAAGAAGCCAGUGAAGAAAACACUUAGGAAAUUACACCCUGAAAUUUCACUCUACCGAUGUGCAAUCGGUCUCCCGGUUUUAAAGGUAGAGGCCUAAAAUCAACAUGAAAAAAUAAGUCUCAUCAACUGUAUGAGCUGCCUUGCAUCCUCCCCUAAGGUACCAACACGGUUCUGCUUUCAGAUUUUAAAUCUUAGUCGCAACUCGCAACCGCCUGAGCAGGGCUUUUCUGAAAACAUCAGUAGACAGGUUGGAUUCUGUCCUCACAGAGGAGGAAGCUGUUGAGCAUCCCUGUUUGCCCAGCAGGAGGUGCAGAGGACAGAAGUUACCCUGAUGCAAGGCUCUUUUGUUUGCUGAUUCUGCCAGAAGUUAAAGUGCUGAAGGAAACACUUCAGUUCAGGAGUUAAAUUUGGAGGCCUCAAACUACCAUUCACAUUCUAGGGAGAUAGCCACAGAAACAAAAUACUGCAUUGCCUAGAAGACAGCUAAAGAUGCCAGUGCGCAGAGAAAAGGGAAGAGAGAGGCUAUCGCUUGCCUUCAAGUUCCCCUCUGAGAAAGGAACAUGAGCAAAGAGAGAGCAGAGCAGCUGAGGGGAAACAUCUGGAAAAACCCAAAACAAGAACCAGCAGUGGCAAUUCAACACGACAGAGGAGGGCCCGGCUCUGUAAGCACAUUAAUGAAUGGCGAGAUGUCUACAUAGGAAGAAAUAUGACUUAGAAUUCUGCACAGCAACUGACCAAACGCAAAGGGGUCCAGAGGAGACAGGCACGGCUGGAGAGAAGCGGAUUUUCCUGGAGUGUCCCAGAGCCCAAGAGAAGAUCAAGUCAUUUAGUGUCCUACUAGGCUGGUAUUUCAAAAUGUG